Microthyrium microscopicum is the source of this 93-nucleotide non-coding RNA. The record is from the annotation of a GenBank genome assembly. NCBI's taxonomy places the organism in Eukaryota, Fungi, Ascomycota, Dothideomycetes, Microthyriales, Microthyriaceae.
GCUUGGUUAGCUCAGUUGGUUAGAGCGUUGCACUAAUACACGACAUAUGUCCUGUUCAUGCAAAGGUCACAGGUUCGACCCCUGUACUGAGCA